GCCCUUUUCCUCUUGCACUACUGGACGUUGAGAUGAGUAGUGCAAUAUUAAAAGGGCAU
This is a microRNA precursor of Gadus morhua (Atlantic cod), 59 nucleotides long. The record is from Ensembl. Lineage: Eukaryota; Metazoa; Chordata; Actinopteri; Gadiformes; Gadidae.